This 1229-nucleotide ribosomal RNA is filed under the name metagenome. Its description in RNAcentral is "bacterial SSU rRNA". It matches the Rfam family "Bacterial small subunit ribosomal RNA", at positions 278 to 1498 of the family's 1533-position model. The record is from RNAcentral.
GAUCUGUAGCGGGUCUGAGAGGAUGAUCCGCCACACUGGAACUGAGACACGGUCCAGACUCCUACGGGAGGCAGCAGUGGGGAAUUUUGGACAAUGGGGGCAACCCUGAUCCAGCCAUGCCGCGUGAGUGAAGAAGGCCUUCGGGUUGUAAAGCUCUUUCGGCCGGGAAGAAAUCGCAUGGGCCAAUACCCUGUGUGGAUGACGGUACCGGAAUAAGAAGCACCGGCUAACUACGUGCCAGCAGCCGCGGUAAUACGUAGGGUGCGAGCGUUAAUCGGAAUUACUGGGCGUAAAGCGUGCGCAGGCGGUUUUGUAAGACAGGCGUGAAAUCCCCGGGCUCAACCUGGGAACUGCGUUUGUGACUGCAAGGCUAGAGUACGGCAGAGGGGGGUGGAAUUCCACGUGUAGCAGUGAAAUGCGUAGAGAUGUGGAGGAACACCAAUGGCGAAGGCAGCCCCCUGGGUCGAUACUGACGCUCAUGCACGAAAGCGUGGGUAGCAAACAGGAUUAGAUACCCUGGUAGUCCACGCCCUAAACUAUGUCAACUAGGUGUUGGGUGGGUAAAACCAUUUAGUACCGUAGCUAACGCGUGAAGUUGACCGCCUGGGGAGUACGGCCGCAAGGUUAAAACUCAAAGGAAUUGACGGGGACCCGCACAAGCGGUGGAUGAUGUGGAUUAAUUCGAUGCAACGCGAAAAACCUUACCUACCCUUGACAUGCCAGGAACUUGCCAGAGAUGGCUUGGUGCCCGAAAGGGAGCCUGGACACAGGUGCUGCAUGGCUGUCGUCAGCUCGUGUCGUGAGAUGUUGGGUUAAGUCCCGCAACGAGCGCAACCCUUGUCGUUAAUUGCCAUCAUUUAGUUGGGCACUUUAGCGAGACUGCCGGUGACAAACCGGAGGAAGGUGGGGAUGACGUCAAGUCCUCAUGGCCCUUAUGGGUAGGGCUUCACACGUCAUACAAUGGUCGGUACAAAGGGUCGCCAAGCCGCGAGGUGGAGCCAAUCCCAGAAAGCCGAUCGUAGUCCGGAUUGCAGGCUGCAACUCGCCUGCAUGAAGUCGGAAUCGCUAGUAAUCGUGGAUCAGCAUGUCACGGUGAAUACGUUCCCGGGUCUUGUACACACCGCCCGUCACACCAUGGGAGCGGGUUCCGCCAGAAGUAGGUAGCCUAACCGCAAGGAGGGCGCUUACCACGGCGGGGUUCGUGACUGGGGUGAAGUCGUAACAAGGUA